This 990-nucleotide ribosomal RNA is filed under the name Nemouridae sp. T30. RNAcentral describes it as "partial large subunit ribosomal RNA". The record is from RNAcentral. Lineage: Eukaryota; Metazoa; Arthropoda; Insecta; Plecoptera; Nemouridae.
GUGUACCGGAAGGUGCACCUGGAAAGUCAGAAUAGAGCUUGAUUAGUUAAGCAUUUCAUUUACACUGAAAAUACACUGUGCAAUUCAGUUUAUUCUGAUAAAUUUUAGCUUACUGUGAUUAUUUGAUAAAAAGGAUUAUUUUUAAUUAAAUUAUUUUUAAUGUUAUAGGUUUUUGUAUAGAAUAUAGAUAAAAUUAUGAGUGUGGUAGGUAAAUUGUAUCGUGAGAGGUUUUUGAAAUAUUUUGAAAAUAUAUUUUCUAAAAAGUAGGAUAUUUUCUGUACCUUGUGUAUCAGGGUCUAUUAAAAAAAAUUUAUAAGUAUUUAUAUUUUCCCGAUUUAAAGAGAGCUAAAUAAAUAUGUUAGUUAAUGUAGAAUAAUUAUUAAUAAUAUUUAUUUAGUAAUGAAACGUUAUCCGUUCUUUAAGAUAUCUGGUUUUCUAAGAAAUGAAUUUAAUUCAGGUUUUUAGGGGUAUUGAUUUAAUUUAUAUGAAUUAUUUAUGUCUAAAAACUAAUGUUUUGGGGGAUAAGCUUCAAAACAGGUUUUAUAAUUUUAUUAUUUUUAAAAAUUUCGUAGGCUUAGAAUUAGCCAUCUAUUAAAGGAUGUUAUAAUUUAAUUUUUUAAGGUAAAAAUUUUCUUAAAAUUUAAGUUUUAUAUUAGAAUGAUUUAUUUAAUUUAGAAAUAAAUGUAAUAAUGAUAAAAUUAGUAUAUAAAUUGUUUUUAUUAUUUUUGUGUGUUAGGUCACAUUAAGGAAUUAGGCAAAUUAAUACUCGCCUGUUUAACAAAAACAUGUCUUCUUGAAUAAAAUUUGAAGUCUGACCUGCCCACUGAAUUUUAUAUUUAAAGGGCCGCGGUAUUUUGACCGUGCAAAGGUAGCAUAAUCAUUAGUCUUUUAAUUGAAGGCUAGAAUGAAUGGUUGGACGAGGUAUUGACUGUCUCGGUGUGAUUGAUAUUAGAAUUUAACUUUUAAGUUAAAAGGCUUAAAUGUUUUAGA